Molecule: ribosomal RNA, 461 nt
Filed under: uncultured Sphingobacteriales bacterium
Lineage: Bacteria; Pseudomonadati; Bacteroidota; Sphingobacteriia; Sphingobacteriales
Description: bacterial SSU rRNA
Rfam family: Bacterial small subunit ribosomal RNA
Source: RNAcentral
CCUACGGGGGGCUGCAGUAAGGAAUAUUGGACAAUGGGCGGAAGCCUGAUCCAGCCAUGCCGCGUGAAGGAUGAAGGCGCUCAGCGUUGUAAACUUCUUUUGGAUGGGGACAAUAAUCUCGAUUUAUCGGGACUUGAGGGUACCAUCAGAAUAAGCACCGGCUAACUCCGUGCCAGCAGCCGCGGUAAUACGGAGGGUGCAAGCGUUAUCCGGAAUCACUGGGUUUAAAGGGUGCGUAGGCUGUUAGAUAAGUCAGUUGUGAAAUUCCCCGGCUUAACCGGGCGAACUGCGAUUGAUACUGUUUAACUUGAAUGAGGUUGAGGUAGGCGGAAUGUGGCAUGUAGCGGUGAAAUGCUUAGAUAUGCCAUAGAACACCGAUUGCGAAGGCAGCUUGCUGGGCCUUCAUUGACGCUGAGGCACGAAAGCGUGGGGAGCAAACAGGAUUAGAUACCCGUGUAGUC